This is a long non-coding RNA of Alosa sapidissima (American shad), 664 nucleotides long. RefSeq lists it as uncharacterized. The record is from RefSeq and is a predicted model, not a curated record. NCBI's taxonomy places the organism in Eukaryota, Metazoa, Chordata, Actinopteri, Clupeiformes, Clupeidae. The transcript is spliced from 8 exons.
ACUGCUCAGUUAUUUCAGUUGCACUUGAAGCAGCGGAGAAAACAUGUACAGGCGUGAGCACGUUAAGUUAGCAUUGCUGACAUUAGCAGCAAUACUGCUAAUGGUUAAUGGCUGUUCAGAUCCAGAGGGUCGGGGGGAAGAGACGUCUGAAUCAGAUAUCCAUCUGUGGAGGUUGCUAUCGUGGGUCCCCCUGGACCAACUGGACCUCAAGGCACUCCAGGACCUGUAGGACCGCCUGGACUUCCUGGACCUAGAGGACCUCGAGGAUUGCCGGGCCCUGUUGGACCUCCGGGGCCUCCUGGACCUUAGCGUAUCCAAUAUCUCUGCCACCCUCCUUUCAGUAAACUGGGACCUCAUGAUGAUGUUUUUGGACCACAUGAUCCAUACAAUUAUCCUAAUGAUGCUCAAUUUGCUGGGGACCAGGCAGGGUCACCUGACCUGUACAGAUCUUAUAAUCCUAAUGAUGAAAUACCAGGGAAGGAGGAGGAGUAAAUUGAACACAGAUGACUUCAUCUCACCAAACAAGACACUGUCCAUUACAGCUGGCAGAGUACAGUUAAAACUUGGAACUAAUAAAAGUUGGCGAAACAUCAUUGGGAAGUCAUCAUAUACUUUAUGUGUCAACUAUUGAACAAAUUUAUUAAAGACACUCUUUUCAGACCGA